UAGUUUAAUUAAUGAUAUAAUUUUUGUUUACAUUUAUUCUCCUUUGACAAGAUUUAAGAUAUUUCAAAUAAAACAAGAGUCAAAGUGGUCAAGAAGUAACAGUUAGUGAAAUUUUAAAAAUUAUCCUAUCCAUUUAUUUUUAUUAUUGUUUAAGUUUUUGGGUGUUCCUAGAUAAAAUUUUAAUUUGCCAUCAAUAUUUAAUUCAAAGUUCACCUUGUUAUUCAAUUUUCGUGCAAUUUAAUUCGUGUUGAAAUUUAAUUAUGAGAAAAAGAGUCUUUCAAUUCCUCACUUAAUAAUUUUUUUUUCUAGUCCCCUUUUGAUGGAGCUGAGAAAUUUCACAAAGGUUUUCAUAAAUUAUGCUUGGCUGAAGAUGGUUAAAGUUAUUUGGACCAGUUUCGACUUGAUCUGUGAAGUAGGCACUGAGCUUUCAUCCUUCACCUUGAAAGAUGCCGGAAGUGUUGCCCAUUUAAAGUUACCCAAUGGGCACCUGUAAAAUUCACGGAGGAGAGCAACAUUACCCAUGCUACACUGUCACAGAUACCUGUUUAUAGGUUGGGCCACAUUCACACAACAGAGAAUAGCCCACUCAGAGAAACAUCCAUGCACUAAGUUGGAUACGAACCCGCAACCAUUGGUUUCGCAGUCAGGCAUGCCGACCACUCGGCCACCUGGUCAGCAUUUAUUAAGUAACAAAUUUAAUCUAUGAAUGUUUUAGUAUAUGAAGUAUUUUCAACCAACAAGUUUUGUAAUUACAGUAUUUAUUGAAGAGAAAAAUCAAAUAUUAAUAAUAAUAUCUAUCAAUAAGAUCCAAUGCAUUCCAUUCCCCGAUCUAAUUAUGCAAUCCAUUCCCUUUUUUUUAACAUUUUGCAGUCAAUAGAAACCCUAACAAGGAAAGAACAAUGAAAUAAAAAUGUCAGAAAGCUGAUCAAAACUACUUAAUAAUUCAUAGCUAAUAGAUAUUUGUUUUAUAAUCAAUUCAAGUAUUCUUAAUGAAAAGUGUCAUUGCAAGUAGAAAUUCAUCAAAAAAAUAUUAAAAUUUUAAAACAUAAUAGAAAUACCCUUGAGAUGGCAAAAAUUUAAUGAAUGGUGGCUAAUGGUAGUUUUUAAACAAUUUAUUUAAGUUUUAAUAUUGUUAGUAACACUGUAACAAUGAGGGCCAAAAUCAAUUGGACUGUUCAGAUUUGCAUAACAA
This is a non-coding RNA of Parasteatoda tepidariorum (common house spider), 1192 nucleotides long. Lineage: Eukaryota; Metazoa; Arthropoda; Arachnida; Araneae; Theridiidae. The record is from RefSeq and is a predicted model, not a curated record.